GAUGAACGCUGGCGGCGUGCCUAAUACAUGCAAGUCGAACGAAACUUCUUUAUCACCGAGUGCUUGCACUCACCGAUAAAGAGUUGAGUGGCGAACGGGUGAGUAACACGUGGGCAACCUGCCCAAAAGAGGGGGAUAACACUUGGAAACAGGUGCUAAUACCGCAUAACCAUAGUUACCGCAUGGUAACUAUGUAAAAGGUGGCUAUACUACCGCUUUUGGAUGGGCCCGCGGCGCAUUAGCUAGUUGGUAGGGUAAAGGCUUACCAAGGCAAUGAUGCGUAGCCGAAUUGAGAGGUUGAUCGGCCACAUUGGGACUGAGACACGGUCCAAACUCCUACGGGAGGCAGCAGUAGGGAAUCUUCCACAAAGGGCGAAAGCCUGAUGGAGCAACGCCGCGUGGGUGAAGAAGGUCUUCGGAUCGUAAAACCCUGUUGUUAGAGAAGAAAGUGCGUGAGAGUAACUGUUCACGUUUCGACGGUAUCUAACCAGAAAGCCACGGCUAACUACGUG
This 512-nucleotide ribosomal RNA is filed under the name uncultured bacterium. Its description in RNAcentral is "partial 16S ribosomal RNA". It matches the Rfam family "Bacterial small subunit ribosomal RNA", at positions 28 to 507 of the family's 1533-position model. The record is from RNAcentral.